Molecule: small RNA, 68 nt
Filed under: Salmonella enterica subsp. enterica serovar Typhimurium str. SL1344
Lineage: Bacteria; Pseudomonadati; Pseudomonadota; Gammaproteobacteria; Enterobacterales; Enterobacteriaceae
Also listed under: 1 other name
Description: STnc1380
Source: RNAcentral
GCUUAGUCCGGUUGGUGAUUUGUGAUUUUUGGCGAUUGAUCAAAUCACACAAUCCGGACUGAGUUCAA